This is a small nuclear RNA of Capronia coronata CBS 617.96, 202 nucleotides long. It matches the Rfam family "U2 spliceosomal RNA". From Rfam's summary of the family: U2 is a small nuclear RNA (snRNA) component of the spliceosome (involved in pre-mRNA splicing). Complementary binding between U2 snRNA (in an area lying towards the 5' end but 3' to hairpin I) and the branchpoint sequence (BPS) of the intron results the bulging out of an unpaired adenosine, on the BPS, which initiates a nucleophilic attack at the intronic 5' splice site, thus starting the first of two transesterification reactions that mediate splicing. The record is from Rfam. NCBI's taxonomy places the organism in Eukaryota, Fungi, Ascomycota, Eurotiomycetes, Chaetothyriales, Herpotrichiellaceae.
ACAAUUGUCUCAGUUGCCUUUUGGCUUAGAUCAAGUGUAGUAUCUGUUCUUUUCAGUUUAAUCUCUGAAAUCAUCCUACGGGAUGAAUACAUUGAUUAUUCUCAUUUUUGGAGAUGGCCGGUUAAACCCCUCUGUGCUUGCGCAAUGGGUUUCUGGCACCGUGUCCGAGGCCUUACACUACUGCCUUGUGACGCGAAACCCU